This 969-nucleotide long non-coding RNA is filed under the name Coffea arabica (coffee). Its description in RNAcentral is "long non-coding RNA (CARA_LNC001627)". Lineage: Eukaryota; Viridiplantae; Streptophyta; Magnoliopsida; Gentianales; Rubiaceae. The record is from RNAcentral.
CUUAGCCCAAAACCAACUCCUGUUCAAUCUCCACCACCACCUGUUCCAGAACCACCAACUCCUAGCCCAAAGCCAACUCCUGUCCAAUCUCCACCACCACCAACCCCUACACCAAAGCCAGCUCCUAUUCAAUCUCCUCCACCACCAACUCCGGUUCCAUCUUCAAUCCCACCUGUUUCAAAACCACCAACUCCUAGCCCGAAGCCAACUCCUAUCCAAUCACCACCACCAAUCCCUACUCCUACCCCAGAGCCAACUCCUGUUCAAUCUCCACCACCACCUGUUCCAGAACCACCAACCCUAGCCCAAGCCUCCUGCUACACCAAAGAGUUCCAUCUCCAUCCCACCUCAAACCACCAACCUGCCAACUCCUUCCAAUCUCCCUACCACCAACAAUCUGUUCCAGAACCACCAACUCCUGUCCAAUCUCCACCACCACCAACCCCCACACCAAAGCCAGCUCCUAUUCAAUCUCCUCCUCCACCACCAACUCCGGUUCCAUCUCCAUCCCCACCUGUUUCAAAACCACCAACUCCUAGCCCGAAGCCAACUCCUAUCCAAUCACCACCACCAAUCCCUACUCCUACCCCAGAGCCAACUCCUGUUCAAUCUCCACCACCACCUGUUCCAGAACCACCAACUCCUGUCCAAUCUCCACCACCACCAACCCCUACACCAAAGCCAGCUCCUAUUCAAUCUCCUCCACCACCAACUCCGGUUCCAUCUCCAUCCCCACCUGUUUCAAAACCACAACUCCUAGCCCAAAACCAACUCCUAUCCAAUCACCACAACCAAUCCCUACUCCUCCCCCAGAGCCAACUACUGUUCCAUCUCCACCCCUACCUGUUUCAAAACCACCAACUCCUAGCCCAAAGCCAACUCCUGUCCAAUUACCACCACCAACCCCUACCCCAGAGCCAACUCCUGCUCAUUCUUCACCACCAACUCCUGUUCCAUCUCCAUCCCCAC